This 460-nucleotide ribosomal RNA is filed under the name uncultured bacterium. Its description in RNAcentral is "partial 16S ribosomal RNA". It matches the Rfam family "Bacterial small subunit ribosomal RNA", at positions 338 to 795 of the family's 1533-position model. The record is from RNAcentral.
CCUACGGGUGGCUGCAGUGAGGAAUAUUGGUCAAUGGACGGAAGUCUGAACCAGCCAUGCCGCGUGCAGGAGGACGGCUCUAUGAGUUGUAAACUGCUUUUGUCUAAGGGUAAAGCUCAAUACGUGUAUUCCGCUGAAUGUACCUUACGAAUAAGGAUCGGCUAACUCCGUGCCAGCAGCCGCGGUAAUACGGAGGAUCCAAGCGUUAUCCGGAUUUAUUGGGUUUAAAGGGUGCGUAGGCGGUUUGAUAAGUGAGAGGUGAAAGGUCCGGGCUUAACGCGGGACCUGCCGGUAAUACUGUUGGUCUAGAGUGUAGAAGCGGUAGGCGGAAUGUGUGGUGUAGCGGUGAAAUGCUUAGAGAUCAUACAGAACACCGAUUGCGAAGGCAGCUUGCCGAGCUAUAUCUGACGCUGAGGCACGAAAGCGUGGGGAGCAAACAGGAUUAGAUACCCUUGUAGUC